This 393-nucleotide ribosomal RNA is filed under the name uncultured bacterium. Its description in RNAcentral is "partial 16S ribosomal RNA". It matches the Rfam family "Bacterial small subunit ribosomal RNA", at positions 523 to 918 of the family's 1533-position model. The record is from RNAcentral.
AUACGGAGGAUGCAAGCGUUAUCCGGAUUUAUUGGGUUUAAAGGGUGCGUAGGCGGUUUGCUAAGCGGGAGGUGAAAUGCCGGCGCUCAGCGUCGGAAGUGCCUCCCGAACUGGUGGACUGGAAUGACUCUGCCGUGGGAGGAAUGUGUAGUGUAGCGGUGAAAUGCUUAGAGAUUACACAGAACACCGAUUGCGAAGGCAUCUCACGAAGGGUUGAUUGACGCUGAGGCACGAAAGCGUGGGGAUCAAACAGGAUUAGAUACCCUGGUAGUCCACGCAGUAAACGAUGAUGGCUAACCGCUGGUUUAUUCGGAUCAGUGGCCAAGCGAAAGCGAUAAGCCAUCCACCUGGGGAGUACGACCGCAAGGUUGAAACUCAAAUGAAUUGACGGGG